This 77-nucleotide transfer RNA is filed under the name Lachnospiraceae bacterium 7_1_58FAA. RNAcentral describes it as "tRNA-Asp". It matches the Rfam family "tRNA". From Rfam's summary of the family: Transfer RNA (tRNA) molecules are approximately 80 nucleotides in length. The record is from RNAcentral. Lineage: Bacteria; Bacillati; Bacillota; Clostridia; Lachnospirales; Lachnospiraceae.
GGCGUAUUAGUUCAGAAGAGUAGAACACCGGCCUGUCACGCCGGAGGUCACGGGUUCAAGUCCCGUAUACGUCGCCA